UACAGAGGGUGCGAGCGUUAAUCGGAAUUACUGGGCGUAAAGCGUGCGUAGACGGCUAUCUAAGUCGGGUGUGAAAGCCCCGGGCUCAACCUGGGAAUUGCAUUCGAGACUGAAUAGCUAGGGUGCGGUAGAGGGAAGCGGAAUUUCCGGUGUAGCGGUGAAAUGCGUAGAUAUCGGAAGGAACAUCAGUGGCGAAAGCGGCUUCCUGGACCAGCACCGACGUCAGGCACGAAGCGUGGGGAGCAAACAGGAAUUGAGAUA
RNAcentral lists this ribosomal RNA (261 nucleotides) under uncultured bacterium. RNAcentral describes it as "partial 16S ribosomal RNA". It matches the Rfam family "Bacterial small subunit ribosomal RNA", at positions 524 to 784 of the family's 1533-position model. The record is from RNAcentral.